GUAGGUGGCAAGCGUUGUCCGGAAUUAUUGGGCGUAAAGCGCGCGCAGGCGGUUCGUUUAAGUCUGAUGUGAAAGCCCACGGGCUCAACCGUGGAGGGUCAUUGGAAACUGGAGAACUUGAGUACAGAAGAGGAAAGCGGAAUUCCACGUGUAGCGGUGAAAUGCGUAGAGAUGUGGAGGAACACCAGUGGCGAAGGCGGCUUUCUGGUCUGUAACUGACGCUGAGGCGCGAAAGCGUGGGGAGCAAACAGGAUUAGAUACCCUGGUAGUCCACGCCGUAAACGAUGAGUGCUAGUGUUAGGGGGUUUCCGCCCCUUAGUGCUGCAGCUAACGCAUUAAGCACUCCGCCUGGGGAGUACGGCCGCAAGGCUG
This 372-nucleotide ribosomal RNA is filed under the name uncultured organism. Its description in RNAcentral is "partial 16S ribosomal RNA". It matches the Rfam family "Bacterial small subunit ribosomal RNA", at positions 527 to 896 of the family's 1533-position model. The record is from RNAcentral.